AGACUUUUAAAGUCUCUGAAGGGCCGUUGAAGACUACAACGUUGAUAGGCAAGAUGUGGAAGUGGUGUGAGCCAUUAAGCUAACUUGUACUAAUUACCCGUGAGGCUUAACCAUACAACGCCAAACGUGUUU
This 132-nucleotide ribosomal RNA is filed under the name Pseudoalteromonas arctica. RNAcentral describes it as "partial 23S ribosomal RNA". The stretch from base 1 to 114 matches the Rfam family "Bacterial large subunit ribosomal RNA", at positions 2815 to 2925 of the family's 2925-position model. The record is from RNAcentral. Lineage: Bacteria; Pseudomonadati; Pseudomonadota; Gammaproteobacteria; Alteromonadales; Pseudoalteromonadaceae.